AACGAACGCUGGCGGUAUGCCUAACUCAUGCAAGUCGAACGAGAUCUUCGGGUCUAGUGGCGCACGGGUGCGUAACGCGUGGGAAUCUGCCCUUUGGUUCGGAAUAACAGUUGGAAACGACUGCUAAUACCGGAUGAUGACGAAAGUCCAAAGAUUUAUCGCCAGAGGAGGAGCCCGCGUAGGAUUAGCUAGUUGGUGUGGUAAAGGCGCACCAAGGCGACGAUCCUUAGCUGGUCUGAGAGGAUGAUCAGCCACACUGGGACUGAGACACGGCCCAGACUCCUACGGGAGGCAGCAGUGGGGAAUAUUGAACAAUGGGCGAAAGCCUGAUCCAGCAAUGCCGCGUGAGUGAUGAAGGCCUUAGGGUUGUAAAGCUCUUUUACCCGGGAUGAUAAUGACAGUACCGGGAGAAUAAGCUCCGGCUAACUCCGUGCCAGCCGCCGCGGUAA
RNAcentral lists this ribosomal RNA (449 nucleotides) under uncultured bacterium. RNAcentral's name for it is "partial 16S ribosomal RNA". It matches the Rfam family "Bacterial small subunit ribosomal RNA", at positions 29 to 523 of the family's 1533-position model. The record is from RNAcentral.